Molecule: ribosomal RNA, 274 nt
Filed under: uncultured bacterium
Lineage: Bacteria
Description: partial 16S ribosomal RNA
Rfam family: Bacterial small subunit ribosomal RNA
Source: RNAcentral
ACACGGGGGGCGCAAGCGUUAUUCGGAAUUAUUGGGCGUAAAGGGCGCGUAGGCGGUUUCGUCGGUCAGAUGUGAAAGCCCGGGGCUCAACCCCGGACGUGCAUUUGAAACAGCAAGACUUGAGUACGGGAGAGGAAAGCGGAAUUCCUGGUGUAGAGGUGAAAUUCGUAGAUAUCAGGAGGAACACCGAUGGCGUAGGCAGCUUUCUGGACCGAUACUGACGCUGAGGCGCGAAGGCGUGGGUAGCGAACAGGAUUAGAAACCCUAGUAGUCC